Molecule: ribosomal RNA, 520 nt
Filed under: uncultured bacterium
Lineage: Bacteria
Description: bacterial SSU rRNA
Rfam family: Bacterial small subunit ribosomal RNA
Source: RNAcentral
UGGGGAAUAUUGGACAAUGGGCGCAAGCCUGAUCCAGCAAUGCCGCGUGAGUGAUGAAGGCCUUCGGGUUGUAAAGCUCUUUCGCCUGCGAGGAUGAUGACGGUAGCAGGAGAAGAAGCCCCGGCUAACUUCGUGCCAGCAGCCGCGGUAAUACGAAGGGGGCGAGCGUUGUUCGGAUUUACUGGGCGUAAAGGGCGCGUAGGCGGCGAUCUAAGUCAGGCGUGAAAGCCCCGGGCUCAACCUGGGAGGUGCGCUUGGGACUAGAUUGCUGGAGUUCGGGAGAGGAGCGUGGAAUUCCCAGUGUAGAGGUUAAAUUCGUAGAUAUUGGGAAGAACACCGGUGGCGAAGGCGGCGCUCUGGACCGAUACUGACGCUGAGGCGCGAAAGCGUGGGGAGCAAACAGGAUUAGAUACCCUGGUAGUCCACGCUGUAAACGAUGUGUGCUAGACGUUGGGGAGCCUAGCUCUUCGGUGUCGCCGCUAACGCUGUAAGCACGCCGCCUGGGGAGUACGGCCGCAAG